AGUUAUUUAGCUUAUGUUUAAAGCUUAUAUUUUGAAAAUAUAUGAAAGAGUUUACUUUAAUAACUU
RNAcentral lists this transfer RNA (66 nucleotides) under Tituria pyramidata. Its description in RNAcentral is "tRNA-Ser". The record is from RNAcentral. Lineage: Eukaryota; Metazoa; Arthropoda; Insecta; Hemiptera; Cicadellidae.